GAUUAGCAUGUCUAGUAUAGCACUUUAUACUGUGAAACUGCGAAUGGCUCAUUAAAUCAGUUAUCGUUUAUUUGAUAGUACCUUACUACAUGGAUACCUGUGGUAAUUCUAGAGCUAAUACAUGCUAAAAACCUCGACUUCGGAAGGGGUGUAUUUAUUAGAUAAAAAACCAAUGCCCUUCGGGGCUCCUUGGUGAUUCAUAAUAACUUAACGAAUCGCAUGGCCUUGCGCCGGCGAUGGUUCAUUCAAAUUUCUGCCCUAUCAACUUUCGAUGGUAGGAUAGUGGCCUACCAUGGUGGCAACGGGUAACGGGGAAUUAGGGUUCGAUUCCGGAGAGGGAGCCUGAGAAACGGCUACCACAUCCAAGGAAGGCAGCAGGCGCGCAAAUUACCCAAUCCCGACACGGGGAGGUAGUGACAAUAAAUACUGAUACGGGGCUCUUUUGGGUCUCGUAAUUGGAAUGAGUACAAUCUAAAUCCCUUAACGAGGAACAAUUGGAGGGCAAGUCUGGUGCCAGCAGCCGCGGUAAUUCCAGCUCCAAUAGCGUAUAUUAAAGUUGUUGCAGUUAAAAAGCUCGUAGUUGAACCUUGGGUCUGGCUGGCCGGUCCGCCUCACCGCGAGUACUGGUCCGGCUGGACCUUUCCUUCUGGGGAACCUCAUGGCCUUCACUGGCUGUGGGGGGAACCAGGACUUUUACUGUGAAAAAAUUAGAGUGUUCAAAGCAGGCCUUUGCUCGAAUACAUUAGCAUGGAAUAAUAGAAUAGGACGUGCGGUUCUAUUUUGUUGGUUUCUAGGACCGCCGUAAUGAUUAAUAGGGAUAGUCGGGGGCGUCAGUAUUCAGCUGUCAGAGGUGAAAUUCUUGGAUUUGCUGAAGACUAACUACUGCGAAAGCAUUCGCCAAGGAUGUUUUCAUUAAUCAGGAACGAAAGUUAUGGGAUCGAAGACGAUCAGAUACCGUCGUAGUCUUAACCAUAAACUAUGCCGACUAGGGAUCGGGCGGUGUUUUCUUAUGAUGACCCGCUCGGCACCUUACGAGAAAUCAAAGUUUUU
RNAcentral lists this ribosomal RNA (1050 nucleotides) under Aspergillus sp. RNAcentral describes it as "SSU rRNA". It matches the Rfam family "Eukaryotic small subunit ribosomal RNA", at positions 50 to 1108 of the family's 1831-position model. The record is from RNAcentral. Lineage: Eukaryota; Fungi; Ascomycota; Eurotiomycetes; Eurotiales; Aspergillaceae.